UCGUUGUUGGAGAACCUCCACUCCCUUGCCCGGCCCUCAGAGAGGGUCCCGGCGGGCGGAGACACAGCCGGCCUCUGCCACACCUGAGGCAACUCUGCAGCCUCUCUGGACCCAAGUUCCCAUUUCUGCAAAUCAAAUAAAACGGUUCAAGAGAGGACCUUUAGAGCCGCGCAACAGAUUUGAAAUCCUCUGUGCGAACUGUUUCCCAAGGACAGCUGACAGGGGAUUGAGGUCUUGGCAUCUCCCCCUUUGAAACCUAGGUUGCCAGACUGCCAGAAGUGAGCCAGAGCCUUCUACUGUACUGGUCACUGCCAGCACCCGAGAACUGACAGCGGCACCAUCAAGAGAACAUGUGCUUUGAGCUGCUUUUCCAAGAGUGGAAACGGAUUUGCUUUGAUCCAUUCAUGUGACCGGGGGCAUACUUUGUGAGGGUUAGCAAGGUAAUACAUGACCACUGAGUUUUUCAGGCAGAACAAGAGGCCUUGUCCUCCUUAGUCAGCCCCCUACUUACUUAACCAAACUGAAUUAGGACCCAAAUGAAUUCAAGAACUAUUCGGGGAAGCUUAAAAGAGUAUGAAGGAAGAAAAAGCAGAAGAAAGAGCUUGAACUAACUGGUUUGCCCCCAGAAACCCAGACUGGACUUUUAGAGAAGUUGUAAGGAGAGUGGCCUGUUUCAUCCAGUUUGACUUUGCUGUGUCUGCUGCCCUGUGUUCUCUUUCUCCUUCUUCCCUAAAUUCACAGCCACCCCCAGUCUCCUCCCGCUCCCUAAAAAGCAUUAGAGCAUUUGAACCAUGAACUCUUCUGUCUCCUGGUACACUCAAUAUCAAAGCAGACGGGAUUCUGUUUCAUGGGCUUUGAAGUCAGGCUUUUUUCUUUUAGAGUAGCUGUGUCCAAGGGAUGGGUGGAGUGGAAGAGAAAUAUCACAGGUCAAAAU
Molecule: long non-coding RNA, 934 nt
Organism: Budorcas taxicolor (takin)
Lineage: Eukaryota; Metazoa; Chordata; Mammalia; Artiodactyla; Bovidae
Exons: 4
Source: RefSeq, a predicted model, not a curated record